RNAcentral lists this ribosomal RNA (412 nucleotides) under uncultured bacterium. Its description in RNAcentral is "bacterial SSU rRNA". It matches the Rfam family "Bacterial small subunit ribosomal RNA", at positions 39 to 497 of the family's 1533-position model. The record is from RNAcentral.
GCGGCACGCCUACACAUGCAAGUCGAACGAAGUAGCAAUACUUAGUGGCAGACGGGUGAGUAACAUGUGGGUAUCUACCCUUUGGCCUGGAAUAACACGAGGAAACUUGUGCUAAUACCGGAUAAGUCUUUACGGAGAAAGCUUUAUGCACCAUUGGAUGAGCCCGCACUUGAUUAGUUUGUUGGUAGGGUAAUGGCCUACCAAGACUAUGAUCAAUAGCUGAUUUGAGAGGAUGAUCAGCCACAUUGGGACUGAGACACGGCCCAAACUCCUACGGGAGGCAGCAGUGGGGAAUCUUGCACAAUGGAGGAAACUCUGAUGCAGCGAUGCCGCGUGAGUGAAGAAGGCCUUUGGGUUGUAAAGCUCUUUCGUCGGGGAAGAAAAUGACUGUACCCGAAUAAGAAGGUCCGGC